UUGCAGCUAAUUAAGCCGACCAAGUCCCCUUCCCCAUGGGAACCUGGUGUGCAGUGGUUGCAAACAGCAGCCUCCUUGGUAGUGUAUGCAGCCUGUUGCCUGUAUGGGUUGCCCCAAGGGACCUUGGAGACAAUG
This is a small nucleolar RNA of Acomys russatus (golden spiny mouse), 135 nucleotides long. RefSeq annotates it as small nucleolar RNA SNORA70. The transcript has a single exon. The record is from RefSeq and is a predicted model, not a curated record. NCBI's taxonomy places the organism in Eukaryota, Metazoa, Chordata, Mammalia, Rodentia, Muridae.